AGAAAGCCCGAGCUCACCGCCGCCACCCGCGAGGUGAGGAGGUGCGGGGCGGACCCGACGGCUCCGCGUGAGGCGCUGCCAUGGCGGCCUGCCCGCCGGGAGCCGUUACCAGGGCAACGCGCGUGAGGCAACAGAUUUGAAGGAGGAGGUGGAAUACAGAGCUUUGAUGAUGCCUUCUACAUUGACUGAUUCCUCCAGACAGACAUGUGGCAGUUAUGAUGGACAGGAACAUGUAAAUCUUCACUGAGUAUGAAUUAACAAUUAGAAAAUAAAGGAGUGAAACAAACAAGAGGAGAAGACAAAAAUGUAUAAAGUACGAGUGGAGAGGCAGCAGGAAGAACGCACAUCUUGAGCAUAAAGAUCUGAUGCUGAUAAGUCAAGAUUUGGAAGGACCUCCUUGAGUCACUGGAGGGCUGACUGUUGUGGGAGCAUCAAGAAAAGCUGAGCCAGCAAAAGUUUCAAGGUCCUGAAGAGUUUUGCACCUGGCCCACCACAUCAGUGCUGCACUUGUGCCUGAUCACCAGGGACAAUUGUGUUCCUGUUUCCAUUGUGCAGUCAUGCAGAAAACAUCUCUCAUCCGAGCUCGAAGCGGUGGCGUGAGUUACACAUUGGUGGUGUG
RNAcentral lists this long non-coding RNA (619 nucleotides) under Gallus gallus (chicken). Lineage: Eukaryota; Metazoa; Chordata; Aves; Galliformes; Phasianidae. The record is from RNAcentral.